RNAcentral lists this ribosomal RNA (449 nucleotides) under uncultured bacterium. RNAcentral's name for it is "bacterial SSU rRNA". It matches the Rfam family "Bacterial small subunit ribosomal RNA", at positions 355 to 796 of the family's 1533-position model. The record is from RNAcentral.
UGGGGAAUAUUGGACAAUGGGCGCAAGCCUGAUCCAGCAACGCCGCGUGGAGGACGAAGGUCUUCGGAUCGUAAACUCCUGUCAGGCGGGACGAACGGACGCCGGUGAACAAUCGGCGUCUCUGACGGUACCGCCAGAGGAAGCCCCGGCUAACUCCGUGCCAGCAGCCGCGGUAAUACGGAGGGGGCGAGCGUUAUUCGGAAUUAUUGGGCGUAAAGGGCGCGUAGGCGGCCUGGUAAGUCAAAGGUGAAAUCCCUCGGCUCAACUGAGGAAUUGCCUUUGAAACUGCCAGGCUUGAGGCCGGGAGGGGGUAGCGGAAUUCCCAGUGUAGCGGUGAAAUGCGUAGAUAUUGGGAGGAACACCAGUGGCGAAGGCGGCUACCUGGACCGGUUCUGACGCUGAUGCGCGAAAGCGUGGGGAGCAAACAGGAUUAGAUACCCCCGUAGUCC